AAUCAACGCUGGCGGCGUGCCUCAGACAUGCAAGUCGAACGAGAAAGUCCCCUUCGGGGGAUAAGUAAAGUGCGCACGGGUGAGUAACACGUAGGUAAUCUACCUUCGGGUGGGGAAUAACCCAGGGAAACUUGGGCUAACACCGCAUAAUGCAGCGGCACCACAUGGUGACAGUUGUUAAAGCGGGGGAUUUUCGGACCUCGCGCCUGAAGAGGAGCCUGCGGCGGAUUAGCUAGUUGGAAGGUACGCUUACCAAGGCAACGAUCCGUAGCUGGCCUGAGAGGGCGGUCGGCCACACUGACACUGACAUACGGGUCAGACUCC
RNAcentral lists this ribosomal RNA (324 nucleotides) under uncultured bacterium. Its description in RNAcentral is "bacterial SSU rRNA". It matches the Rfam family "Bacterial small subunit ribosomal RNA", at positions 32 to 339 of the family's 1533-position model. The record is from RNAcentral.